Molecule: ribosomal RNA, 403 nt
Filed under: uncultured bacterium
Lineage: Bacteria
Description: partial 16S ribosomal RNA
Rfam family: Bacterial small subunit ribosomal RNA
Source: RNAcentral
AUUGAACGCUGGCGGCAGGCUUAACACAUGCAAGUCGAGCGAGCGGCGGACGGGUGAGUAAUGUAUGGGGACUGCCCGAUGGAGGGGGAUAACUACUGGAAACGGUGGCUAAUACCGCAUACUAUCGGAUAACCCAUAUGGGAUUAGCUAGUAGGUGGGGUAAAGGCUCACCUAGGCGACGAUCGCUAGCUGGUCUGAGAGGAUGAUCAGCCACACUGGGACGGAGACACGGUCCAGACUCCGACGGAGGCAGCAGUGGGGAAUAUUGCACAAUGGGCGCAAGCCUGAUGCAGCCAUGCCGCGUGUAUGAAGAAGGCCUUAGGGUUGUAAAGUACUUUCAGCGGGGAGGCGUUACCCGCAGAAGAAGCACCGGCUAACUCCGUGCCAGCAGCCGCGGUAAUUC